UCUCUGUACCCACAUCGUCUUCCUCCCCUUGCCAUACUCUGUACCAGGCCGUCCAGCUGCGCGCUAGGGUUCGGGAAGUCUGCUCCGUCGCCUCUCUCGCCCCCUCUCCUGGACUUUCUCCGACUUCUAUCUUGGACCUAGUUCCGGCGCCGUUGAAGCACGAGCUCCCCUCCUCUCCUCUGAGUCGCGCCCGACGAAGACGCCAUUGCCGCCGGCGAGCACGUAAAUGUAGAGGAGUUGUGCUGUAGCUCCUGGGGGCGAAGAGGAACUGCCCAAAGGAGUCAGCUAUCUUCUGCGCCUCGAGGAUUUUAGGUUGAAUAGUACCUAGCCAUCGUCCUUUAUAGCUCAGGAUCCAAGGUAUGAGCAUCGAAUUUGGUUGUUCUGUUAUCCAUGUACAGUAUAUUUGCUUCCUCCAGGCCAUUCAGUUUCCAUGUGUUUGAAGCCAAUGGCAUUUGGGAAUAUGAAUAGUAUGGGCACAAAAUUGAUCCGUUGGAUGUUGGUGAAAUUCUAGUAGUAAUCACAACAGCCGGUGCAAAUAGUUGAGGGGGAUGUGCUCUGUGUGUUCUGUUCCUUUGUAUACAAUUUUUUUUUAUACCUUUGCUAACUUGAUAGUAAGGUGGACAACUCGGCAUGUAUGUGAAAUAAAUGACUUCCUAGGAGCCUACUACAUGGCAAGAGUGGGUUAGUUACUGGUUGUUCCUACGGGGUUCUUGUACAUGAACUAGUAAUGUACUAUAUGAACUUCUUCCACAUUGCUGAUAUGAAAUGGGAACGGCAUUUGCAAUGUUCAAUUAAACUUUCUAUGGUAAUCCUAGUUGUUCAUGUUCCUCAUUUUGUUUUGCUGAUGUCCACAUUGUACCUAUGCUCUUAAGUAAAAAGUAUUGAUGUGUUUUGCCUGGUACGAGGUUAAUUAUCCACUUUUUAACCUGCGUGUGAUGUUUUGUGUUAUAUUUGCAUGAAAAAUAGUCAGCCAUGGAGUCCAUGACAAGUGGUGCUCUAAGUAUUGGGUCAACUACGGCAAUGGGAGUUGAAGAUGAUGCCAACAGCUUUGCCAUGGGCACGAUCCAGCAGGUCGAAAACAAUGAAAAUAGCUACCACACGCCAACACGAACUAACAGUCUUCCGUUUUGUGGGUCAAGAUAUGAGCCGGAGUGUGAUCCUAACUUACAGCCCGUAAUUGGUAUGCAAUUUGACACUUGGGAGGAAGGUAUGACAUUCUACAAAAUGUAUGCUCAUGAAGUCGGGUUCUCGGUUCGCACAUGGACGACACACAAAGAUGAACAUGGCGUACUGUGGAAGAGGUUUGUUUGUGCUAGGGAGGGUUGGAGAAAGGAGGCCCCAGAAGAGGAAAGGAUAAAACCUAAACGAAAAUUCAAGUUAACCAGGUGUGGUUGUGAGUAUGAUUGGACUGAGGAGGCAGGAUGAUGGCAAAUAUAAGGUUGCCCGGUUUGUUCAAUCACACACUCACCAACUUAUUUCGCCAAGUAAGAGACAUCUCAUCAAGUCAAAUAGGGAAGUAAGUAGUGAGUUGAGGAGCAAACUACUUACAUGUCAUAAAGCAAUGGUUGGCACAUCUGCAGCAUAUCGCUUGCUUAGUGUAGAGAAGGGGGGUCCGGAAAAUGUGGGCUGCACGUCAGCUUAGUGUAAUGAAAUUCCUAGUCAAUAUGUGUUGCAUAGGUGGACUAAAAUGGCAGCACGUCAGCUUUCCUAUGACGCCAACGGACAUGAGCUAGAAGGCCCAUCUACAUGUCUUUCACCUACCAUAAAAAAGUUGUACUCGGAAACAUGUUCAAAAUUUAGCUUGGCACUUCAUGCAGCGAAACAUUGUGAGGAGAAAAUGAGAUAUUUUCACAAGGUUGUUGGUGAUGCCUUCACGCAAUUGGAACAGAUGGGUGCCAUUAGUGAGCAAAGUAAAGUUCAAGAAUUUGAAUCCUUCGUCGAAACAUCAUUCCCAAGUGUGAUCAGUAUUCAUCCACCAGAUGUAGCAAACACAAAAGGGAGUGGUAAGAGAUUGAAAAGGGGUUCAGAGCAAACAGUGAACCAAAAGAAGAAGAGGGCAAAUAGCAUCCAAAAGGUUCCUGAUAAGUAGGGGCGGUGGUUUCACUAAUUUGAUGUUGGAAUAAUUAUGUGAAGUCAUUCAGCUGGCUACAUUCUUGCUGGAAAUGGCAGUGAUAUUCAUAGGCGAUGAGGUUUUCGACUUUUGGUGCUUCCAGGAGCUCACAUUUUGCAAAUGUGUCACUGAAGCAUGCAUAUGUUCUAUGUCUGUAACUCUGGAUGUGGUCACUGUUAGCUUCAGGAAGUCGCUAACAGUAAACCAUGUUGUCCCAUUAGCCAUGUUUAACCAGGAAGAAAAGAUUGUAUGACCGGGCAACGAAUUGCUAAGCCUAGCUUAAUGUAGGUUUUAAGAUUUGGUUUGUCUUUCUGUGUUAUUGUCGCAGCUGUAGCCAGCUUGCUAUAUGUCGUGCUCAUGUGAACACUUUCCGAAUUAGGGCAACCUUAUUACUAUGUGUAUUGAGCACCGUUCAUUUAUUUUCCUCUGUUUUUUGUUGCUC
This is a long non-coding RNA of Triticum dicoccoides, 2552 nucleotides long. RefSeq lists it as uncharacterized. The transcript is spliced from 5 exons. NCBI's taxonomy places the organism in Eukaryota, Viridiplantae, Streptophyta, Magnoliopsida, Poales, Poaceae. The record is from RefSeq and is a predicted model, not a curated record.